This 326-nucleotide ribosomal RNA is filed under the name uncultured eukaryote. RNAcentral's name for it is "partial 18S ribosomal RNA". It matches the Rfam family "Eukaryotic small subunit ribosomal RNA", at positions 1470 to 1796 of the family's 1831-position model. The record is from RNAcentral.
CCCUUAGAUGUUCUGGGCCGCACGCGCGCUACACUGAUGCAUUCAACGAGUUCCUACCUUGGCCGAGAGGCCUGGGCAAUCUUUUGAACUUGCAUCGUGAUAGGGAUAGAUUAUUGCAAUUAUUAAUCUUGAACGAGGAAUUCCUAGUAAACGCAGAUCAUCAAUCUGCAUUGAUUACGUCCCUGCCCUUUGUACACACCGCCCGUCGCACCCACCGAUUGAAUGGUCCGGUGAAGCCUCGGGAUUGUGGUUAGUUUCCUUCAUUGGAAGUUAGCCGCGAGAACUUGUCUAAACCUUAUCAUUUAGAGGAAGGUGAAGUCGUAACA